CUCCCGUCAGCAUGGUGAAGCCUCUGUACACAGUGUUCAUGUUGAUGAAAGUGUGAUGUACAGUGUUCAUGUUUUAUGGAAAUGACUCUCAAUCUCUCUCUCUACAGUGAUACUAUGAAGGACACCACCUCUAAAGCUUUGUGUUCCUACAGUAUGCCUUUUGAAACAAUAUGUUUUGGUAGAAUCACUUGUCUUUACGUGUUGUCGAGUCAGGUUUUGAAGCUGGUGUAUUAUUAAGUAAUUUAAUGGCAACAAACAUUUAAUCUCAUGAACCUGAACGUAAAUGUUUGGUGUUGAUGAGGUUAUUUUGGAUCUUAGUAUCAUUAUUUGCAUCUUUCUAUGAUGGACUGCAAAACAUAUGUAUUCAUUAAGAGGUAAAAGUAUAUUUAAAAACAGAUACCUUUCUGUUUAAGGCUCAUCAACGUGCCUUAAUUUGACAUGGAUUUAAAAUUAGCGACUGCUCAUCUUUAACCCUUAAAAAUAUAUUCAGUAUUAGGCAGAGUUUGAAUGAUAUGUCACUCAUAAAAUGAAAAUAAUCCACAUAGAGCUAUCAAAAGAGGAGAAUCCUCUUUGUUGCCCCACUCAACAACAAAAAAACAUAGAUUCUCACUGUAGAGCAAGAGGAGCAACUCAGUAACUAUAAAAACUGAAGCCUUUCUUCAGAAAAGUUUUAUUACAAAUACAGUAUAGAGUAUAUUUUCAUUUUAUGGGUAUCUGAAAGUGACAAAAUAUUGACAUAUUCUUUCAUAAUUUUUUUGAGAAUUAACCCUGUUCAUCCCAUAGUAUCUUAUUAAUUCCUCACAAUCUGAAGCCAAUGCAUUUCUCACCAAAUCAUCAGUUUAUUUAUGGUUCAAUAUUACAGAGCCUUUUGGAAUCAAUGUCCUCCUGACUCCCCAUCUAACUAAUCACUGAGAGUAUAGCUCCCCCCGGUGGUGAGUUAAUGUAAAGCAUGUGUAUUGUGCCUGUCUCCUCCUCUUUCUAGGGAACCUCUAGGUGCGUCUAGUGAUCCUGCUGGGUCUGAGAGCUUACAGUCACUGCUACACCACUGUAUUACUAAAGCCAAGAGAGUGGCUGCCAACACCAAUAACAACUCCACUUCCAGGAGAAGAACAGGUGUGUCUCUCUCUCAGACCCAGCAGCAAUCCCAGACCCCCUCGGCUCACAGAGAAGAUCUCUACCUCCACAGGAAGAGGAAAAGGCAGAACAGGAAGAACCCAUAUCUCUUUUUAACCUCCCUCCUGCACCGCAGAAGACGCUCUGAGGAGGACCAGGCGGCCAUCCUGGCCAGUACAGACUCAGACGGGCCCAACUACAGGACUCUCCACUGACCACUGACCAGUAUGUCCACUACUGUCACUCACAGACAGGUCAAGCCAUGGGACGUGACUACAUUGACCCGCCAACCUAGAUCUCCCUUAAUUCCAUUCAGCUUUUGGCAGUGGGUAACCUGUCUCUAGCGUUUUCCAAAUAAUUUACAGACAAAAUGAAGAUGUUUUCCGUGUCUCCCUGAGGAUAAUGUAGUGAGGGUCACCAGAUAAAACAUCUGUAAUGUAAAUACAUAAAAUAAUGAAAAAGGGGACAAUAUCUCCUAUUGUAGUAAAAUGCAUUGAUCUAAAUAAUUCACAACACCUUAAAAGUCACUGGUCAGGAGGAGUCUAUCUGAGGUGUUACAGUGACACAGUGGACUAAACCUGGUGCGUUCCUUAGACAAGGACCUCAGUCUACCUUUCCUACAAUUCAAAUAGUGUCAGUAUCUAACACAGGGUACUUAUCGCAAAAUAUACCUCAGAGUAAGUGCAGAAUUGCAGUAAUUCUAUUGGACUAUACGUAUUUUACAUUAUUUUUCAAAUGAAAUGUAUGAAAGAAAUGGUAUAUAAUAUCAUUCACUUCACACAUGAAUUGGAUGCUAUGGCCUGAAGUCUGAUUUUCAUCCGCUUUUAAUAUCGAGCCCAAUCUGCAUAUUUUGCUUAAUCCCAAAAGAAUAUCAUCCAAUACAAGGCGCGGUAUGAUAUUGGUAUAUUUCAAAUCACUAAAAGACAUGUCCUCACUCUCUUGCAUUUAACCAUGUGAUCACAUCCAGUAAAGGUCAGCCCACGUUCUUCUUGCUAAGACAUACAGUAACUUUGUGUUCAAGAGGCCAAAUGUACACUUGAUAGGGUGAGGACAGAAAAGGGGUGAGAAAAUGUGAUAAAUGUGUAUACAGUGUUUUUCAUUAAUAUGGAGGAAACCUCGAGUCAUUCGUGGAGUAUGGCACAUCUCAAGGUGCCUUGUUUGCCUUUUCUCUCUUGUUUUUGAAAAGUGAAUUAACUGCCUUUUCCUUCGCCUUCACGCAUUCUCUCUCUCUCUGUUGGGACUCAUUAUAAGCUCCAGUCUGACCUGUGGACUGACUCUACUUUUUCUGCCAAGAACACCUAGCUGUGAGUAAGGGGCACUGAAGGUGUAUUACUCUGGUUCUUUUUUUAAUCUUGACUGUGUAUAUUCUACUAAUAGAACAGACCUAUAACAACAAUUAGUGAUUAUGAUGACAGUGUUAAUCAUUUCAGGUUUCAAAUUGUGGUAAUGCUAUAACAUAGAUAUAAAAAAAAAUCACAAUUUAAUCAACAUUUAAAUGUAAAAGGUACAGAAGUAGUUAUUAUGCAGAAAGUGAAACUUGCCACUGAUGUUCAUAUUUCAAAACAGCUGUAAUACUGAAUACUGUAUUGAAAGAUCUGAUUGCUGUUGCUUUAUUAGGCGAUUUUAACAAGUGGGCUUGUUAGAUGACAAGUGACAACAUUUGUGUUACAUUAACUAAACUCAAAAGGUGGGGUGGCUGUCUCGACUCUCAACUGUUUAUCUCUAGCAACGGUAUAAUAUUACCUGCUAGCUAUUUCUCUAUGUUUAUUCAUUUUAACACUAACCGAUAAUGAAUGUAUGUUUUGCUGUACAGGAAGUGACUGUCCUGAUGUCAUAGUACAACGGAUGUGGUGGUAUUAAGUUUAGGUUUAAUUGGCUAGUUGGCUAGUUGGCACAAUAGGUUGAUUUGAUUUAUCCCACAAGGUUAGCUGGUUAACCAAGGAUAGGUUCAACCACUCUUGGUUGAAUUCUUUCCUUUACACUGAUAGUUAAUAUUAUAAUUUUCUUCUCACCAUGUAAACUAGACCUAUUAGAGCGCUUUAAGCUUACACACUGACAAGAUGAAUCACUGGAAGACAUUGACAUUUUAAACCAGUUGUCUGAUUUGGAGUCACUUUUAUCUUUACUGAUAGCAAUUCAGGAGUUGAACUAGACAUAACAACUCUCUGAAUGUAUGUUAAUUGAACCCCUCUCUGCUUGCUAUAGAAUAUAUAUCAGUGAUCAAAACAUCAACUUUAUCUGCCCUCUUCACUCACUUUCCAACCUAUUUUUUUUAAUUGGUGAGAUAGUGACGAUUUUGUGGAAUGAAGUUAUUUGAAAUUGAUACAUCAACGUGCAUAUUCCAAGAAUUGGUUAUAUGUAAGAUAUGGGGAAAAUCUAUAUUCAUAAUGUAUACAUGGUGUGUACUGUAUUUGUGAAGAUGAAACAGAAAGAUAUUUUGUUCAUUAUUCUUGAGGACAAAAAUAGAGAGACAGAUUUAAAGCAAGUUAAUAUUAGAUGUGAUGAAAGUAUUUGCUUUAAGGCUUUAAGUGGACAAUAUUUAUAAAACAUCUUAAGGUGCUUCGUUUGUCAUGUUUUCGGAGACGUUAUUUUACAUUUAUGGAAAAGUAAAUGUUAGCACAGAACAAAUGUUUUAUUGUCAUGUGGGCCUGUUGGCUGCACAAGUUCAGUAGUAUUUAUUCUGUUGUAUAGUAUGUGAAUGAAUACCAAUUUGAAAAGCAUCAAUGUGUCAUUGCUGGACUAAACCUUAUCUGAAACAGAAAACUUUUUUUCCCCACAAGCACACAGGUAGAUUCACUCAUGAUCACUUGCAUCCAGAUGUCCAAAGUAUGAGAGAAACAAAAGAGAGCCACAAACAAUCUAAUAGUUAUGGGGUACUGUAUGUGCUGCAACCGAAGUCGUGUUUACAUUAGCUAGAGAUGACGUACGUGCUACUAGGACGUAGUUGCUUUCAACAUUAUGACUUGGUGCUAUGUUUAACUCUGUGGUGCUGUAGAUCAGAGCCCUACUCUCUUGAAGUCCUCUGUGUUUUACCAACUCAACUAGUCCCAUCGUUGUAAGUCCUAUUAAUAAACUAGUGUGAUUGGCAAUGAGCAAAUUGUAUUGAUUGUGGAAUCAGAUAGUGGCAAUAGAUAGUGUGGUGACAUUCAAAAAAUACAUCAAAGAGACUUAGAAUAAUGUAGCAAUGGAACAAUAGUUAGUUUCCGUCUCUGUUCCAGCCUCUGUCUGUGCUUCCAGGGUACCCUCUCCAAAAUGUUUUACUUGUGUUGAAGGGGAGAUAUAAUACCCAGAUUAGAUGGGGAAACCUACUUGGUGUGAAGUUAUUUAUCAGUACUUUUGAUCAGUAUUAAAUAUGUAACAGCAGACCGGGGAGGGAAUCUGAGCCCAUGGUCAGGGCAUGAGAAGGUCGUUCUACACUACACACUUCCUACAGGUUAAAAACUAUUUUUGAUGGACAGCACUGUUUUCAAGCACACUACUGCAGGGGCAUAACCUUCUUACGUGAUUUCUCUCCACUGUUGUCACAAAGUCUCCUAUUGGGGGACAGUAUUGUACAGUAUAGCCAAUAAGAGUAUUCAUCAAACAGCGUUUGUAUUUAAGCUGAUUCUUCUCGUAUGUUUUGGUAAAGGUAUUGCUGACACAUUCUUCACAUAGACUUUUACUAAUGUAUGUAGUCUUCCGGGCUCUCUUGCUUUUUCAACAACAAAAAUACAUACAGUAUGUAAGAGGGCUGCUUUGGAGGUACAGAUGUAGGAUCUUAAUUUGAGCCAAUUUGCUACAGCAGGAAAAUAAACCUGCAGCAAGAGAAAAUUUGAAUUAUUAUAGUGAUUAUAAUUAAUGGACAUUUUUGUAGGGGCUGAUAUAUUUUUCUUAAGGGAAAAUCAAGUCUGAAAUGUCAAAGUGGAAAUUACAAACUUCAGAAGCCUUUUUAAACCUCAAAUACACUACAAGUGUGAAAUAUCAUGCAUUGCAGGAAAGUUCUCCUGCAACAGGGCGAUCAAAUUAAGAUCCUGUACUGUUAGAUCAACUUUUAUUUUGUAUUUUUCUGCUUAAAGGCUUUUAGUGCAUAAGUAGGAGCUGGUAUGAUUAUACUUAGAGCAAAUUUGAUUUAACUAUAUUUAUCUUGCAUGUAGAGACAAUACAAAAGAGCCUAUUCAGCAAUCAGUCAUAAACUUUCAACCUGGUUGUGAUCAGACAGAAAAUGGAAUAUGUAGUAUUUUCUAUGUUCUCUGUUUUUCCGUGUGUACCAGCACUGAGGAAAUAGAAUGUAUUAUUACUGUACAAUAAGUGCUACAUCUUUGACUGUUUUAACUAAUGCUCCUCAUCCUCAAGCAAACCAGUAGUGCUUAAAGGAAGAAUAUGUAGUCAUGUCAUAGCAUAUUUUCAUCCAUUGAGGCAUGUGCGUGUGCUGUACAUCACGUUUACAUUCUAUAUUUUAUGUUGACAUCUUCUGUGCAUAAUCUGUUUCAAUAUGCCUUUUUCAACUGAAACAAUUGAUCUAUAUCAGACUGUUCAUAUGUAAAUAUUCCAAAGCAAAAACAUGAAACAUAUUUUACUUUUUGUCUAUUUUACAAUGAUAACCUGCGGAUCAUUUGGAGCUUCAUCAUUCAGUUAUGUUUGAUUGACAUCAGGAAUUAUUUUACACUUAACUUUUAUGUGACCAAUUAACUCAUCCACUGUAUGGUGCUGUACCAAAGCCUUAUGUAAAAUACUAGUCUGUGUUGAUUUUCUCUUUUGCCACUGUUGUCCCGGGAAUUCAAUAUUGUCUGGGAUCACGUGUUGCUCACUUCAUGUUCAACUGCCAUGGAACUUCUUCUUCAAAAUAAACCCUGAAGAAAAAGCAUAAACGCACUGGCCUAAUACCACCAGUGGCUUCUAGAGAAUAGGUGACAAAGGCUUAUGACCUGUGGCAUAGGCUCAAGACAAAGUGACAUACGUUUAUUAAAAAAGGCAUUGGCAAAUUUGUUGUAUCAUUGGCUCAUGAGCGGUUUGUGACAUAGACAUACAGCAUGUUCUAUGAUGAUCCAUGGCAUGCCAAUAAUAAGUGGAAAGCAGCGUUGCGUUCAUGUCCAUCAUGUGUCAAUUUCCAACGCUUAG
This 6210-nucleotide long non-coding RNA is filed under the name Salmo salar (Atlantic salmon). RNAcentral describes it as "lncRNA (ENSSSAG00000116037.1)". Lineage: Eukaryota; Metazoa; Chordata; Actinopteri; Salmoniformes; Salmonidae. The record is from RNAcentral.